AAAGUGCGCGAAGAGACCGCAGCCUUCUGGGAAAUCUGCUGAGGAAUCCCGCAGUACUGGAGAGAGCCAUCUUGAACUCUACUUGCAGAUAUUGCACCAGUACCUUUAAGGAGAGAAGCUGAACAAGGGUAAAACAGAGGAGGUGUCUGCUUAUGGGAUGGCCCUGUAAACUCUGCACAGGGGAGAAUGCCAGAUGGAUAAUACAUCAGUGUCUACAUAUAACCGUGCGUCCACACCGAACGCGACGCGAGCGACAAAGCAGCCGGAAGUCAUUCAUUUUCAAUUAGAGCCAGCGACACUGGGCGACAGGCAGCGACGCGGCGCGACGCGAUGCGAAGCGGGCGGUUUGAGCGACGCGAGAGAGUUGACCAGAACUUAACUUUAUGCAAAUGAGCAGCGACGCGCGGCGGCGACUACCAAUCAGAAACAGAUUCUCAUAUGUUCGGCCUGAAAUCGCUGCUCUGAUUUUCGGUUCCUACUGAAGAUUUAUUCCGCCAGCAAAACGGAGAGAACAGAACUGAACUGAACUGAGCUGAUCUGAGGUAAAAUACUCCACUACACCAGCAGCUACCCCACUAUAGUACUAUCCUUACAGAAUUACCUUUUUUAAUAGAAAACUAUAUAUUAAAACUGAGGAAAUUAUUUAUUAAAUUAACAGAUUUAUGACAACUAAAGAAUAUUUUUUAAAAUUAACAGAACCUUUUAUUGAAACAAAGGGAAUUAUUUAUUAAAGUUAACAUAACGAUUUAUUACAACUGAAGAAAGUAUUUAACACAUUUAACGUAACGAUUUAUUCAAACUGAGGUAUGGAAUUUGGAACGAUUUAGUUAAAUCUGAGAGAAUUAUUUAUUACAUUUUACAGAAAGAUUUAUUAAAACUGAGGGAAUUAUUUAUUAAAUUAAGAGAAAGACUGUUUAUUAAAUCAAGAGGAUUAUUUAAUAUAUUUAAGUAAACAUAUUAAUUACAUCCAAGGAAUAAUUUAUUACAUUAAGUUAACAAUACUAUACAACAAUACUACUAACAACACUAUUUUAAAUUAUGGACAAAUAUAUUUAUAUUAUAUAAUAUAUUGUAAGAGAAUGAUUUACUACAUUAAGGAAAAUAAUGUAUUAUAUUUAAGUAAACCCAUUUAUUGUAAUAUGAAAUAGUUAUGUUAAAUAAUUGUACUUAAUAAUAGUUAUAAAAUAUAUAAAGAUUUAUUGUUUGUGAAACGUCUGUACGACUGUUUAUGGUUUAGGAAUUGUGUAGAUAGGCUGAACCCUUGUUUCUGUACGUGCCGUAUUAGGAAAACGCCCACCAGCGACAGCUCGUUCUGAGUGAGACACGCCCACAAGCGACUCAUCGCCUGUUGCACAGGCGACACAGAGCGAUUUUAUCGCGUUCGGUGUGAACGUACAGUAACCCACAUAAAUUGCACUGGGUUAUUGGGUGCAGUUUGCCCCCAGUCCACUAGAGGGUGCUGUGGCGCAUGUAAAGGAGUGCAUCGCCACUUAGAAGAAGACUUCAUGAGCACAUUUUCUCUUCAGUAGUAGAUAGAGCUUUCAGGAGUAAUAGAAAGAUAAAGAUUUAACAACAUCUUGACAUUUAACCAUUCCUUUUCGAUUCAAUCCUUUGUUUUACUCAUUCAAGAAGAAGUUUUCAUUUGAAUUACCACUCUAGAGCGUUUAAUCAUUGAAUCUCCGAUUGGUUUUUUUGUUGUGCAUCUUCUGCCACAAUUAAGAGAGAGAGAGAGAGAGAGAUACGGCGAGCCUGUGACCUUCCUAAGGACUGUGACCAGCGUGUGUUCGUGUCAACCUGCAAGCCUGUGACUUGGACGCAUCCUGUUUGCAUUCCCUUGGAUUACAGAUAAGAAUUAAGAUACACCUCACUCACAUACUACCCGGGUAGUGAUUCAAAAAGGCCUUGUUUUCAUUUUUUGUUCAUUGAUCUAUUCAAAGUACGUACGAAGACUUUUUUUUUCAAUUUUUUCUACUUUUUCCCCUUCGUGUGGAAUUAAAGAGCAUUUAUUGAACUUUGAACCGAAACUUUGAGUUUGAACAUUGAGGUUGGAUAUUGAACUUUGGGGUUGAACUUUAUUGCACCUUGUUCUACAUUGGGUAACUGACUGACUAUACAUUUUACUGACUGACUAAGGGUUUUACAUUUUCUAUUGUGGUUACUGAUAUCUUUUCCCUGUGUGCUACAAUAAAUGUUACUCCUUUUUUUUCUUCAUCUAAAUUCUGGUCAUUGCCAAUUCUCUCCCUGUAGCCGAACCUAGCUCUGAUGACUCUAGUAAUAUAGUAGUCCCAUAUAUUAUGUUAAGAUAGAAGCGUUACAUACACAAGACACUAUUCUGCUGUACCCUUGUGAAAGCACCCAUAGAACAUUUUGGCCAGAUGAAAUCUUCAUUCCUCUUUUCUCUGGGGCAACCGAGGCAAUUUUGAGGAACGCCAGUGAAUUUCUCCAAAAUGUUGCUUUGCAGAACCAUACUCUGGUAAAGUCUGAAAUAAUGGAAAAAUUAGCAGACUAUAUGUACAGCUACACAGCCUACCCCAAAGGCCUUCAGACUGGUCAGGUAGCAGAGGCUUUAGUGAAAAAGCACCCAUGUCUGACAGAACCAGGCAGUCGUAAUGGAUGGAUAGGAUGGAUGUAUAGUCUCAAGUACAAGAUGGGAAAUUACAGAUCAAAGCUCAGAAGUUUUGGAUUCCCUGAGGUUACCCGCAACUCAUUUAAGAACAAGCACCCUGAUGACCAGUCUCCAGCAAAAAAUAUAAAGAAAGCAAGGAAAGGAGAAGUGCUGUUUCUUCCACACUAUCCAGUAGGAGACAGCAAGGAACAGCAAGAGCUGGACCGAUGUCAAUUAAUUGCCAAAUCAAAGAAGAAAGACAGCACAGCCAUCAAGGACUUGAUGUGUAGAACAUUUGCACAUAGAAGACAUGAUGUCGUUACCCUACAGAUGAGCAUCAAAGACCUCAAGAACAGAUGGCCUGCCUUGUUUAAUGUCUCGCAAGUCAGCGCAGAGUUUCAGAGAAUCACCACACUGACUCUCGAGCCAAAGUUCUUUUCAGCGUUGGAUCGCUAUUCUCCUAAAUUGCUGUCCCUGUUCCAAGCGAAGAAGGCUGCUGCAGGAGAAAGACAUCGAGCUCAAAUGAGUACUCUUCUUCAGGAGUUAUAAUUUGACCCCCACCUAUUCUGUUGGUUUAUUAACUGCCUUAAACAUAAUUUCAUCAUUGCCAUUUCUUCUAAUCAUCAGUAAUUAUUACAGAUAUUCAUAUGUAGUGCAUAUAAAACAAUAAGGACAGCCCAAGAGAAGCUUUGUCCUUUUAACAUACAGUAUUUAUACAUACAGGAAUUUGACUGUUUUAACAAUAAAGUUUUGGGUAAAAUAUAUUUUUAAAAUUAUUAAAACUGUCAUUUGCAGUAUUUUUGUCUGCUUAUGCAUUUGAUUUUAUCAUGAGAAUUUCUAAGAAUUACUUUUACAUUAAACAAAUGUAAGCCAUUUUUAUUUGUUGCAUCCUGCUUUCACUAGUUAAAGGAGAACUCCGGUGUAAAAUGGACUUUGGGUGUAGUGAAACAUGAUUACGAGUACUAAACUUUGAAAGUGCACAAGAAGUGUAUUACAUCGCAUAGCACUGAGCUAAUUCUUCAGACACCGCCAUCUUAAAGUUAAUUCACAGCAAGUCGAGUCACGAGCAUGAAUGAAUAGGUAGGAUGGGGAACCAUUUUCAAAAUGAAUUCAGUGGAAAUGCAUGAAUUCCAGCUGUUGCUGAAAAUAUCUGGUUACUGGCGAUAUGAGAUGGAAAAGUUCCAAUAACAAAUAAACAUAGUUCAAAAUGUUUUACCAUUCGUGCUCGACUGGCGACUUGCCGUGACUUAACUUAAGAUGGCGGUACCUGGAGAACUAGCUUAGUGCUACGCGACGUAAACAGUCUAUUUUAAUAAACCUCUUGUGCACUUUCAAAUUACUUAAUGCCUCAUUUUAGAUGCCAAGGCUCUCUGAAUUCUACCAAUGAAGUGUGGAGCUAUUUUGAGCUUGUUAGCGGUGGCAAAAAAAAAAGCUUGAAAAAAGUUCUGAAUUCUGGAAUGCUGUCUGCAAACGUUGGUUGGUAAUUCAACAAAGGUUAGUACUCGUAAUUACUUCACUACAUCUGAUGUCCAUUUCACAUGGGAGUUCUCCUUUAAAGUGAAGGUGAAUGGUAAUUUGUUUAAAUGGGGUGUCCUAUAUUUCUUACGACUAUCAUUUGUGUAAAGUUAGGAAAGAGGUUCAGCUGUAAAUCAAAGUGUAAAACUCAAAAUAAAGGCUGAAUUACAUAGGCUGAAUAAUUAACUUGCAUGCCUUGAAACUGAAGUUUUUAAUCUAUAACACCUGCUGAGCUCUCUCUAAA
RNA transcript from Astyanax mexicanus (Mexican tetra), 4364 nucleotides. RefSeq lists it as uncharacterized. The transcript is spliced from 5 exons. The record is from RefSeq and is a predicted model, not a curated record. Lineage: Eukaryota; Metazoa; Chordata; Actinopteri; Characiformes; Acestrorhamphidae.